Molecule: ribosomal RNA, 501 nt
Filed under: Triticum aestivum (bread wheat)
Lineage: Eukaryota; Viridiplantae; Streptophyta; Magnoliopsida; Poales; Poaceae
Description: partial small subunit ribosomal RNA
Source: RNAcentral
AAGAAGGCUGGUGGCAGCGUGAAGGACCGGCACAGCAAGGUGAACGGGCGCGGUCGGCGCGUGCGUAUGCCGAUCGUGUGCGCCGCGCGCGUGUUCCAGCUCACGCGCGAGCUGGGGCUCAAGUCCGACGGCCAGACCAUCGAGUGGUUGCUCCGGCAGGCGGAGCCCUCGAUCCUCGCCGCCACGGGGACCGGCACCACCCCCGCCGCCUUCGUCUCCUCCUCCGCGCCAUCCACCUCCUCCUCCUCCUCCUUCUCGUACCCGCACACGCUCCUCGGCAAGCGCCCGCGCGAGGAGGAGAACGACGCCUUCGGCGCGGGGGCUGCAACGUCGGCGUUCUGGGCGGCACUGCAGGCGCCGCCGCGGCAGGACACGUGGGGGUUGUCGCUGCUGGAUGCGCAGGCCGCGUACAUGCCGAUGGCGCAGGUCCACCACCACCACCUCAACCUUGUCGCCGCGCUCUCCGGCGGCGCUCGGCGCACCGAGGAGGAGAGCCGGUGA